Molecule: ribosomal RNA, 498 nt
Filed under: uncultured bacterium
Lineage: Bacteria
Description: partial 16S ribosomal RNA
Rfam family: Bacterial small subunit ribosomal RNA
Source: RNAcentral
GAUGAACGCUGGCGGCGUGCCUAAGACAUGCAAGUCGAACGGUAACAGGCCGCAAGGUGCUGACGAGUGGCGAACGGGUGAGUAAUGCAUCGGAACGUGCCCAGUCGUGGGGGAUAACGCAGCGAAAGCUGCGCUAAUACCGCAUACGAUCUAUGGAUGAAAGCGGGGGACCGUAAGGCCUCGCGCGAUUGGAGCGGCCGAUGUCAGAUUAGGUAGUUGGUGGGGUAAAGGCCUACCAAGCCGACGAUCUGUAGCUGGUCGGAGAGGACGACCAACCACACUGGGACGGGGACACGGCCCAGACUCCUACGGGAGGCAGCAGUGGGGAAUUUUGGACAAUGGGCGCAAGCCUGAUCCAGCAAUGCCGCGUGCAGGAAGAAGGCCUUCGGGUUGUAAACUGCUUUUGUACGGAACGAAACGGUCCUGGUUAAUACCUGGGGCUAAUGACGGUACCGUAAGAAUAAGCACCGGCUAACUCUGUGCCAGCAGCCGCGGUAA